UGUUACUCCCUCCAUCCAAAAAAAAGUGAAUCGAGUACUAGAUGUGACACAUUCUAGUACAUCAAAUCUGGACAGAGAUAUAUUCAGAUUCAUGGUACUAGGAUGUGUCACAUUCAAUGUUAGAUUGGUUUUUUAUGAGACAGAAGGAGU
Molecule: unclassified non-coding RNA, 150 nt
Filed under: Oryza sativa (Asian cultivated rice)
Lineage: Eukaryota; Viridiplantae; Streptophyta; Magnoliopsida; Poales; Poaceae
Description: partial microRNA MIR468n-3-as precursor
Source: RNAcentral